This 274-nucleotide ribosomal RNA is filed under the name uncultured bacterium. Its description in RNAcentral is "partial 16S ribosomal RNA". It matches the Rfam family "Bacterial small subunit ribosomal RNA", at positions 523 to 796 of the family's 1533-position model. The record is from RNAcentral.
AUACGGAGGAGGCUAGCGUUGUUCGGAAUUACUGGGCGUAAAGCGCGUGUAGGCGGAUCGUUAAGUCAGGGGUGAAAGCCCGGGGCUCAACCCCGGAACUGCCCUUGAUACUGGCGAUCUAGAGUCCGGAAGAGGUGGGCGGAAUUCCCGGUGUAGAGGUGAAAUUCGUAGAUAUCGGGAGGAACACCAGUGGCGAAGGCGGCUCACUGGUCCGGUACUGACGCUGAGACGCGAAAGCGUGGGGAGCAAACAGGAUUAGAAACCCGAGUAGUCC